RNAcentral lists this long non-coding RNA (2161 nucleotides) under Phasianus colchicus (ring-necked pheasant). Its description in RNAcentral is "lncRNA (ENSPCLG00000015397.1)". Lineage: Eukaryota; Metazoa; Chordata; Aves; Galliformes; Phasianidae. The record is from RNAcentral.
CCAGUAAUUUGUGUGCUCGCAGAGCAUUUUCCAUCACAUGAGCCUGAAAUGGAAGAGGAUUUAUGGAAUGGAGAGCAUGAGGCACCAAUUCAGCAAAUACCAGAGUGUGUAUGUAAGUGUUUGCAGGUCUAAAUAUGCAAGUGGUCUUGAUCUUCUUAAGCUGCUUCAUGCUGCUGACUCCAAAGGCUGAUGGGAGAACCUGCACACAGUUUGCACAUCAAGAUUUUUACAAGUUUUGUGUAAUGAGAGCUUUCUCACCAUGUUGAUUGAGCAUCGUCUUCCACUCAUUACUUCUCAGCCUGUUUAAUAGAUUUACUGCUACUGAGCACCCUCAGCGGAUGCUGAAUGUCACAUUGUUGGUGCAGUGGCCUCAUUACUUUCUUAAUAUCUUAAGCUUCCAUUCUUUUAAAUUUUGGCAAGUACAUGAUGGUGUAUCUGACCUAUUAUUGUUCCUUUCUUCUUCUUCUGACCUGUUGAUGCCUCCCAGCCGUGGUUCAUCAUUAUGGAGGCUGUUGGUGGCCCUGCCUAUGCUCUGAUGCUUCCUCUGGAGUUCAGCUUCGAAGUAAAUCUCACAUCACACUGCAAACUUUUUUUCAAGCCAGAGACCUGUCUGUAAUUCGUAGCUCACCAGGGUCUGCAGGCCAGAGGCUGAAAAGUGUUGCAUCAAAGGAGCUGAGUGCUGGAGAUGUGGCUGAGAUGGAAAUGAAGGUCUAAAGUCCCAGAAUGGAAACCACCCAGGCCUCCUUGCUCAACUCCCUUCUGAUGCUGCAGCCUGGAACAGAAACAGAAAGCUCCAAGUAUCGUACUUCGUCGAACUCCCUUCUUUGGAGUAAUGGAAAGGAGAAGAGGCCUUGUGGGAAUUGAUUCCUAUGAAAAUGGCACAUGUUUCUCAUUCUGCAGAAGCCCAGCGGCAGCAAAAGGGAUGGAGCAGCACAAGGCCAAGCGUCAAGGCAGGAGAAGUGGAAGAGAAAGAACUCUGACCCACAGAGGAGCAAGAAGCUGCCUUCCCUACCACCAAAUAAUUCCUCUUCCUCAUUGGUGUGAAAUCCUGGCUACGCUGAAGUCAAUGGAAGUCUCAACAUCAGCUUUGACCAGGCUGCAAACAAGGUCAAAACAACCAUUCUGGGUAAUAAGAGACCUCCAUCACAUCAACUUGCUGCAUAAUUCCCUUCUGUCAGACUGACUUCGUAGGCUUGGAUUUUCUUGCCUGCCUCUCUACCAGAUUAAAAGACCCCUGCAAGCGAAGUCUACAAACAGUAAGAAAAAGUCCCAUGUUCUCAAGGAAAAAAUGAGAAAUUCAGGUGCUAAAAAAUGGAAAAUCUCCAGCAAUACUUGUGUUUACCUCUUGUCUCUCUAGAGAUGCCUUUACUGUCUCAUGAUAUGUGUUUACUUGGGAGAAUUGGGAGAAAUAGGCAGAAUCAUAGAAUCAUAGAAUCACAAGGUUGGAAACAACCUAUAAGAUCAUCUAGUCCAACCGACAACCGACAGAACUGAGUGGUGAUGGGACCCUGGUCUUAUGCAGCCAUGUAUCUCUACAUGGAAGGCAUUAGGAGGAGGUGGGUCCAUGGCAUGUUCUCUCAGACCUUGGGAAAGAAGCCUGGGAGCUUCACAUCCCCCCGCGUGAGGAGGAGAUGGGAAACAGCACAGACCACUCCGUCUUAAGGCUUUCCCAUCACACUGAUUUUAUUUGUGUUUUGAGAUAACUCAAGAAUCGCCGUGGCUUGCUUACAGAACCGUGGUGGUGCUGGGAAUCUCAGGGAGGGUCAGGGCAGGCAGUUUGCUUUGGCAGGCACGGUGUGAGCGCAUGGGGUGAAGGCUGACCACCUCCUUCACUCCUCACUGACGGGUUGGCCAUUUUCCUUGGGUGGUGGCCAGCCAUUCCUGCUAGAUUCACAUUACAGGGCUGCGUUUGCACUCUUCUACAUCAUCCCAGGCAUCCAGAUGUGUGACAGACGUGCACGCAUGCACUGCACUGCGGAUGCUGUAUUUUGGCUGCAGCUGAGGUAAAUAUUAUUUCUGUAUCAUGAGGAGGAUGAAAUAAUACCUCUGGAGGAUUUGGAAGAAAGAUGGAGGAGACUCAGUUUAUCAUGGUCUGCCUAUAGCUUUUUUCACUUGAGCACGUUGUCGUGCAACAAGAAAUAAAGCAGGAGAAGAAAAUGCA